AGCAGUGGUGGCUGAACGGUUAAGGCAGCGGGUUACUGACCCGAAGGUUGGGGGUUCAAGUCCCGCUGUUGCUG
This is a non-coding RNA of Pangasius djambal, 74 nucleotides long. Lineage: Eukaryota; Metazoa; Chordata; Actinopteri; Siluriformes; Pangasiidae. The record is from the annotation of a GenBank genome assembly.